RNAcentral lists this ribosomal RNA (253 nucleotides) under uncultured bacterium. RNAcentral's name for it is "partial 16S ribosomal RNA". It matches the Rfam family "Bacterial small subunit ribosomal RNA", at positions 524 to 776 of the family's 1533-position model. The record is from RNAcentral.
UACGUAGGGGGCAAGCGUUGUCCGGAUUUAUUGGGCGUAAAGAGCGUGUAGGCGGCCAGACAGGUCAGCUGUGAAAACUCGAGGCUCAACCUCGAGACGUCGGUUGAAACCGUCUGGCUAGAGUCCGGAAGAGGAGAGUGGAAUUCCCGGUGUAGCGGUGAAAUGCGCAGAUAUCAGGAAGAACACCCGUGGCGAAGGCGGCUCUCUGGGACGGUACUGACGCUGAGACGCGAAAGCGUGGGGAGCGAACAGG